RNAcentral lists this ribosomal RNA (663 nucleotides) under uncultured bacterium. RNAcentral describes it as "bacterial SSU rRNA". It matches the Rfam family "Bacterial small subunit ribosomal RNA", at positions 211 to 890 of the family's 1533-position model. The record is from RNAcentral.
AAAGGCGCUUCGGGAGGGGCCUGCGUCCGAUUAGCUCGUUGGUGGGGUAACGGCUCACCAAGGCGACGAUCGGUAGGUGGUCUGAGAGGACGAUCACCCAGACUGGGACUGAGACACGGCCCAGACUCCUACGGGAGGCAGCAGUCGGGAAUUUUGGGCAAUGGGCGAAAGCCUGACCCAGCAACGCCGCGUGAGGGAUGAAGGCCUUCGGGUCGUAAACCUCUUUUCUCAGGGACGAUAAUGACGGUACCUGAUGAAUAAGCCACGGCUAACUACGUGCCAGCAGCCGCGGUAAUACGUAGGUGGCGAGCGUUGUCCGGAUUUACUGGGCGUAAAGAGCGCGCAGGCGGUCGUAUGAGUCGAAUGUGAAAGCCCCCGGCUCAACUGGGGAGGGUCAUUCGAUACUGUUCGACUGGAAGGCAGGAGAGGGAAGCGGAAUUCCCGGUGUAGUGGUGAAAUGCGUAGAUAUCGGGAGGAACACCAGUGGCGAAGGCGGCUUCCUGGCCUGUUCUUGACGCUGAGGCGCGAAAGCUAGGGGAGCAAACGGGAUUAGAUACCCCGGUAGUCCUAGCCGUAAACGAUGGACACUAGGUGUUGGCGGUAUCAACCCCGCCAGUGCCGAAGCUAACGCAUUAAGUGUCCCGCCUGGGGAGUACGGCCGCA